UGGGGAAUAUUGCACAAUGGGGGAAACCCUGAUGCAGCGACGCCGCGUGAGUGAAGAAGUAUCUCGGUAUGUAAAGCUCUAUCAGCAGGGAAGAAAAUGACGGUACCUGACUAAGAAGCCCCGGCUAACUACGUGCCAGCAGCCGCGGUAAUACGUAGGGGGCAAGCGUUAUCCGGAUUUACUGGGUGUAAAGGGAGCGUAGACGGCGCUGCAAGUCCGGAGUGAAAGUCCAUGGCUUAACCAUGGUACUGCUCUGGAAACUGUGGAGCUUGAGUGCGGGAGGGGCAGGCGGAAUUCCUAGUGUAGCGGUGAAAUGCGUAGAUAUUAGGAGGAACACCGGCGGCGAAGGCGGCCUGCUGGACCGUAACUGACGUUGAGGCUCGAAAGCGUGGGGAGCAAACAGG
This 404-nucleotide ribosomal RNA is filed under the name uncultured bacterium. RNAcentral's name for it is "bacterial SSU rRNA". It matches the Rfam family "Bacterial small subunit ribosomal RNA", at positions 355 to 776 of the family's 1533-position model. The record is from RNAcentral.